GACGAACGCUGGCGGCGUGCUUAACACAUGCAAGUCGAACGGAAAGGCCCUGCUUUUGUGGGGUGCUCGAGUGGCGAACGGGUGAGUAACACGUGAGUAACCUGCCCUUGACUUUGGGAUAACUUCAGGAAACUGGGGCUAAUACCGGAUAGGAGCUCCUGCUGCAUGGUGGGGGUUGGAAAGUUUCGGCGGUUGGGGAUGGACUCGCGGCUUAUCAGCUUGUUGGUGGGGUAGUGGCUUACCAAGGCUUUGACGGGUAGCCGGCCUGGGAGGGUGACCGGCCACAUUGGGACUGAGAUACGGCCCAGACUCCUACGGGAGGCAGCAGUGGGGAAUAUUGCACAAUGGGCGGAGGCCUGAUGCAGCAACGCCGCGUGCGGGAUGACGGCCUUCGGGUUGUAAACCGCUUUCGCCUGUGACGAAGCGUGAGUGACGGUAAUGGGUAAAGAAGCACCGGCUAACUACGUG
RNAcentral lists this ribosomal RNA (468 nucleotides) under uncultured bacterium. RNAcentral describes it as "partial 16S ribosomal RNA". It matches the Rfam family "Bacterial small subunit ribosomal RNA", at positions 28 to 507 of the family's 1533-position model. The record is from RNAcentral.